RNAcentral lists this ribosomal RNA (411 nucleotides) under Vreelandella aquamarina. RNAcentral describes it as "bacterial SSU rRNA". It matches the Rfam family "Bacterial small subunit ribosomal RNA", at positions 84 to 497 of the family's 1533-position model. Lineage: Bacteria; Pseudomonadati; Pseudomonadota; Gammaproteobacteria; Oceanospirillales; Halomonadaceae. The record is from RNAcentral.
GAUGCUGACGAGCGGCGGACGGGUGAGUAAUGCAUAGGAAUCUGCCCGAUAGUGGGGGAUAACCUGGGGAAACCCAGGCUAAUACCGCAUACGUCCUACGGGAGAAAGGGGGCUCCGGCUCCCGCUAUGGGAUGAGCCUAUGUCGGAUUAGCUAGUUGGUGAGGUAACGGCUCACCAAGGCCACGAUCCGUAGCUGGUCUGAGAGGAUGAUCAGCCACAUCGGGACUGAGACACGGCCCGAACUCCUACGGGAGGCAGCAGUGGGGAAUAUUGGACAAUGGGGGAAACCCUGAUCCAGCCAUGCCGCGUGUGUGAAGAAGGCCCUCGGGUUGUAAAGCACUUUCAGCGAGGAAGAACGCCUAGCGGUUAAUACCCGCUAGGAAAGACAUCACUCGCAGAAGAAGCACCGGC